GCCUCUGAGUUACGCUCUAUACCCUUUGUGACAUACCUAUAACUGUUGCUUCGGCGGGUAGGGUCUCCGCGACCCUCCCGGCCUCCCGCCUCCGGGCGGGUCGGCGCCCGCCGGAGGAUAACCAAACUCUGAUUUAACGACGUUUCUUCUGAGUGGUACAAGCAAAUAAUCAAAACUUUUAACAACGGAUCUCUUGGUUCUGGCAUCGAUGAAGAACGCAGCGAAAUGCGAUAAGUAAUGUGAAUUGCAGAAUUCAGUGAAUCAUCGAAUCUUUGAACGCACAUUGCGCCCGCCAGCAUUCUGGCGGGCAUGCCUGUUCGAGCGUCAUUUCAACCCUCAAGCUCUGCUUGGUGUUGGGGCCCUACAGCUGAUGUAGGCCCUCAAAGGUAGUGGCGGACCCUCCCGGAGCCUCCUUUGCGUAGUAACUUUACGUCUCGCACUGGGAUCCGGAGGGACUCUUGCCGUAAAACCCCCCAAUUUUCCAAAGGUUGACCUCGGAUCAGGUAGGAAUACCCGCUGAACUUAAGCAUAUCAUAGGCCGGGGGGGAA
This 549-nucleotide ribosomal RNA is filed under the name Colletotrichum gloeosporioides. Its description in RNAcentral is "eukaryotic LSU rRNA". The stretch from base 174 to 327 matches the Rfam family "5.8S ribosomal RNA". The record is from RNAcentral. Lineage: Eukaryota; Fungi; Ascomycota; Sordariomycetes; Glomerellales; Glomerellaceae.